RNAcentral lists this unclassified non-coding RNA (332 nucleotides) under Hevea brasiliensis (rubber tree). The record is from RNAcentral. Lineage: Eukaryota; Viridiplantae; Streptophyta; Magnoliopsida; Malpighiales; Euphorbiaceae.
AUAUUGGUAUUUUCAUGUUUGACAAAAUGCAUGUGCACAAAUGUUAUGUUUAUUCUUUAAAUUUCAAUCUUAAUUCAUAACUUUCCCUUGAGAUUCUUGUGUCAAUAGCAUCUUUUGCCUUGAAAUGCUGGUUUAGUUAUUCGAUAUUCGUUGUUGAAACUGAUCAUGGUUAAUUUUUAUCCAUUGUCCUUCAACUUUGAAGGUUGUUUCACUUCCAUUCCUUAACUUUAAACUCUCAUAAAAAUCACUAAACUUCAUUUUUGUUGCAAAAAAACCCUUCCCACCUGAUCUCGGUACUUGCUCUGACCAGAAUGUUGAUGUCGCGUGUCCAG